Molecule: ribosomal RNA, 253 nt
Filed under: uncultured bacterium
Lineage: Bacteria
Description: partial 16S ribosomal RNA
Rfam family: Bacterial small subunit ribosomal RNA
Source: RNAcentral
GACAGAGGGUGCAAACGUUGUUCGGAAUUACUGGGCGUAAAGCGCGUGUAGGCGGCCCUGCAAGUCGGAUGUGAAAUCCCACGGCUCAACCGUGGAAGUGCAUUCGAAACUGCAGGGCUAGAGUCCUGGAGAGGAAGGUGGAAUGCUUGGUGUAGAGGUGAAAUGCGUAGAUAUCGGGAGGAACACCGGUGGCGAAGGCGGCGACCUGGGUCGACACUGACGCUGAGGCGCGAAAGCGUGGGGAGCGAACAGG